This 33067-nucleotide long non-coding RNA is filed under the name Musa acuminata (dwarf banana). Its description in RNAcentral is "long non-coding RNA (MACU_LNC007638)". The record is from RNAcentral. Lineage: Eukaryota; Viridiplantae; Streptophyta; Magnoliopsida; Zingiberales; Musaceae.
AAGCAUUAAGGGAAGUGUCAUGUUACUCUUAUAUAGAAGAUGUUAACUCAAUAAUGGAAAAUCAGCAAGCUAGAAGAUGUUAACUCAAUAAUGGAAAAUCAGCAAGCAACUCGGGGUGCUGUGCCUCAAGCUUCAUUAAUGGGGCCAAAAGUAGAAAGUCUGCACCUAACUAACAAUAUAGAAAGAGGUGAUUUGGAGUUGAAAAGCAACAAGGCAUAUACUCACUCAAUUAAGUACUUAGUGCACCCAUCCCAUAAUCUAUACAGUAUGAUUUCGUUCCGGAUAUCCGAACUACCUUAACGGAGACCCGAGCCUAACACCUUCAUUAUUGCCUUCUGCAACAACAUAAAUGGCGCGGUCUACUUCAUAAGCCCGAGAAGGAUCCGUUCAAUACAAUAGUCAGAGCGCAAAGUGUACCAAAGAAUCAGCAAUUUCCGUUCUCGUCGACUCUCAAUCUGGAUCCGGGUUUACAUACAGCCUUUCAAGAGUGGUGUAUGGUAAGACCUCUGGCUUUCUUUCACUGUUGCAUGAUCCUGUAGACUGUCUCCGCGUCUUUGAUGGCCCUGCCCUUUUCGUGAAAAUAUGAAAGGGGUGAGUAAAGUAAGCAGUCAGCUGUUAGAGUUAGGCUAGGUAGAGCAGAGCCAGCAGUUACAGUUAUAGGUAGAGCAGCAUCAGAGGAGCGCCCCUGUUCCUUGAGACUUCCCUCAGACAGGAGUACCGAACAAGCAACUACGAAGGGAUUGAUUAGUUCCACUAAGGGUGCCUCCAUCUCAUCUAACUCUUUCUCAUAGAACUCUGGCUGCUGAACUCACUACUACAGUUACUUGCCUCUCCUUGCCUUUCUUUAUAGUAGUCUUUCUUUUGAGUAGUUUCAUUGCCUAUUUCCACGCCACGCCCCUCAUAUGUGAAUUAUACUUCUAAGGAAACUCAGUAAGGCAAUUCAGUUAUAAGUAAUUAUUAGAAGCUAUAAGUAAGGCAAUAAAGGUAUCCAAUCCGCCUCUACUUGAUUGAUUUCUUGCCAUGUAGAUAAGUCUAUAACUAGUCACUUUAUCCCCUUACUUGUCUAUAACUAGUCACUUUAUCCCCUUACUAUAAGUCAUUAUAUAAGAGAGUUUCAGUAGAUAUGGAAGCAGUUAGGUCAGAAGGAGAGGCCAGGCCAAUAGUGGAUGACACCGAUUGCAUUGCCAGGGUGAGCAGAACACUACACUUGUUCAUAACGAAGUAACAAACAGGGGAUGGGAUGGGUUCACUCAAAGGGUUCUUUAUUACUACAAUUGUUGCUUGGCCCCUUAACAUCAAGUAAGCCUUUCACUCUAGGUAGUAGGAAUCUCUUGGGGGGCGAGUAACGUCUAGGAGUAAACGAUGAGUUCUUUCCUCUUUACCUAAACUCCGAUACAUCUAGUUUCACCGAAGAGUUGUUGCAAGAAGAAUCAUCUAGUCUAGUUAAACUGUUUCUCGGGGGCUCUAUUAAGUAUAUAGUAGAAUAGUCCAAUUAAGUAUAUAGUAGAAUAGUAAGAAGCAGACAAGUAACUACUAAACAAGCCAAGCUUAGUAUACUGUUGCGCGUUAGUCUAGUGGUGUUCAUGGCGUUAGUAUGAGUUCCUUAUUUCAGCUAACGCUUACUUUCCGCUUUCCUGGGUAGGUGCCUGUGCCUCAAUCCAAUUCCGGUUCUUUCAGAGAUAGAGUGCUUCUUUUUCUUUCGCCGUAGUUACUUGUAUGUCCGCUUGUUGGCUUGGCUCUGAGCAUUCCGCUUCUGUUCCAACCCCUUUUCCUUACUAUACAACUGAUAUGGCUUCCUCACCUGCAUCUAAUCCUACUGUUGAUCUUAAUCCAGCUUUUUUCAAGCAUAUGAUCCUUCUUCCCUUACUGGUUCAUAAGAUCUUCUUGCAGUCUUUUCAUUUCUGGAAUCUAUCGCAGUCAACUCGUAUACUUCUUACUGCCCGUAGGUAUAGCCGGUAUAGAAUUAAGUAGAUAACACUUAACGCCAAGUUACAGGAGUAGUGAGUAAAUCCCCUUUCUUGUAUUUCUGCCCACUGCAGCAUUCAUGUGUUAGGGUCCACCUUUUCCAUAAGCUUCCUCUAACCCACUACUUUCUGAUUCCUCGACUUCCACUUAGGCUCUGUGAACUCAGGCAACUAGAACAAUGGCUACAAUAUCUCUCCUCCGGCUCCACAAACACAUAGCAAGUAGUGAGUGACUUGUCCAUUAGUCGUAGAUUUUCUCUCUUUCCCUUCCUUACUCUCCCUUUGCAGCUUACUUUCGCCCGAGAGACUCUCUUCUUUGAAUGGAAUCUUUCGUUUCUUUUACACUUGGUAUAGAACCCAUGUAAAGAUACUGAACUAGUUUCGUUUUCGCGAUAGUGAGUUUCAAGUCCUGUUUGAAAGUCAACGAUAUCAGAUCUGUUUUCUCAUGCUACAGGCGCAAGAAAUAUGAUAAGUUGGUCAGCUGUCCUAAGUGAUAGAGUAGAAUCCCUAGUGAAACCCUUACGUCUACUCUUAUUGCCAGCUUUCCAGUACUUUAUCGAGUGGCUUCUUCGGGAGCUCACACUGCCGAAGAUCUUUCUUUAGAUCCCAAUCCAGCUUCAGCUUCAGAUAUCAUAGACUAUAAAGGUAAAGCGCCAACAACAAGAACGGAUUCCACUGAUUGUCUUGCCCAAACUCCUGCCGCUUCAACUGUGUUCGUUGAUUCUGACUUUCAUUAUAGAUAUAGAGUUGUAAAGAACCAGGUUCACCCGUAUGGAGCAGAGCCUCUUUGUCUAGUCCCACUUAGAGCGACAGCUGCAGUCGUAAGAAAGCAACAAGGAGCUUUACUACCUUUUCAAUUGUAGGUGGGAGGUCUUUUAAAGACGGUUAAAGAGAGUUCUUGUUCACGUAAGUGAGAGCACUGCCCGAUACUGCUUGCUCGGUCCUCUAACUAAAUCAAUGGUAUAUAAAUAGAUGCGCGGAACUUACUAAAUUCCCUUAGAGUCUGGUCUUCACUAGAUAGUGGCAACCCUCGUUCCUUUGUCCAAAGUCAAGAUAGGGAUCGUCACUAGGCUCCUUUGCAGAAUUCAGGCCUAGCCAUUAACAGAGAAGCUAUGGGAACAAUGGAAUCCGUGACUGUAAAACACAGGAAUUGUUAGAACGGCCAAGAACUACUAAACGCCAGACAAGCACCCCUUUACUUUAAUGCACAGCUCAUUCUGCACUUUUAGUAGAGUAUCCUUUCCUCACACUCGAACGUAACUUGCAGGCCCUAUACUAGAAUUUCCUAGACUCAACUCUCACUCGAAUAGGAACAGUAACAGUAGUCGGAGUGGGAUUAGCUACACUGCCGCGCACGAACAACUAUUCGGAGCUUACACUUUUUCCGUCAUGGCGGUUGCGAGCGGAAGAGGUUGGUUAAGAGCCCUUGGUUAGCUGGACUGGAUUAGUUACCCUUAUAGAAGAAGGUAGAUAAUCAUUAGCGGUAUCUUCUCUGUCAAACUUCAGAAUUGAGUAGUCUCAUUAGCUGUAGUAGUAUAAUUAUAGGUUGUCGUUUAAUUAGCAGUUUUCGUUUCAUUUCAUUAAGUAUUCCGUUUUCCACCUUAGAACUAGUAAUUGCCUGUUUCUCUGCAGAGUAGCAAUAAGUAAACUCAUACGUAUUGAAUUGUCCCCCUCUCCUACCCGGGAUAACUAGUAGCUUGCUCGAUUCUCUCAUUUCACGCUUUCAUUCCCUUAUUACUGACUAAGUGCGAUCCUCUUUCUUGUUUUAGGUACGAGGCCUUUGUAGCACUAGUGGAUUUCUUAUCAAUGGAAGGAACGAUACAGAGAAGAAAACCCAGGAAGGACGUACUUAGUUACAGGAAAGGCGGGCUUAUCAAGCAUAGUCUCAAUGCUACUAGUUAGUAGUUACAUUCUGUAGUAAGUAAUUAGAUUCUUGUUCGCAGUGGUGCAAUUACAGUUGUUGCCCCAAAGUAUCAGUCUCAUAGGUUGUAGUCGCAUCCUUAUCCUUGUUGUUAGUAGUUGUAGUCUUAAGUAGCUAUAUAAGAAGCGGGCAAUUGAAACAGAGACCCCAGCUACAGAGCAUCAAUCUGAGUACCAAUACCCAGCAUCAGCCUUACUAGCUACCCCAUCAACCAAUACUAGCUACCACCGGUUUCAUUCUCAAACUACUGAGGGAAAUUCUGUAAUAAAAGUGUCUAGCGCCCCACCCAAGGGUUGGAGUCUUAGAGUUAGUAGCUGCAUUCUAAGUGGUACUGAUUUGGUUCUUGGAUUCAUUGGUAUCAGUCUCAGUGGUACUUGCUUGGCCCUGUCACUUAUGGGUUGAAGCCUGCUCGGGGUUAGUUGCAUUCUGAGUACUAUAUGAGGAGUUCAGGUCAUAGGUCUAAUUCUUAUCUUAGUCAUACCGGAUUUAUGGUCAUAGAUAGGGAAUAGGGAAGAUGCGGCUUUCUGGUCAUAGGUCUAAUUCUUAUCUUAGUCAUACCGGACUUCUGGUCAUAGGCAUUUAAUAGGUCAUAUGCGGCUUUCUGGUCAUAUCCCUUACUCAGUCUAUCAAUCGGCUUUCUGGUCAUAGGUGUUAAUAUAGGUAUACCUCGGCUUUCAAGUCAUAGGGAAGGUAGGACUUCUGGUCAUAGGUCUAAUUCUCUGACUCACUUGUUUCAGGCUUACACUCGCUUGUUUCAAUCUAAGUAGCCCCAGCACCAGCCUUAGAUGCACAGGUGAAAGUCCCAGUGGUACAGGUUUCAGCCUAUCACUCCUUAGCCUCAUUCUCGGUGGUAUUGGUUGAAGCCUCUAACUGCCCAACAUCAGCCUUGGUAGCAGUGAGGGGAGCCUUACACCGACUAGCUCCACUCUCAUACUGACUGGUUGAAGCCUGUUUCUCACUUGUUUCGGUCCGGUAGUUAGGUGUUUCAGGCUUGUUGUGCACUCUUUCAUUCUAGCUACCCUUGCUUUAAGUCUGGGCUUCCGAGACCCUGUAUCAGGCUUUGACUCACUAGUUUCGUUCUUGGACUUAUGGGUUUGAGUCUGAGUCUAUUUAGUUGGAUUCUGUAACCCUAGGAGUCGUUGCUUGGCCCUCUUGCUUAGCUCUCCAGGUAGCGAAGGCAGUUACUGAUUCCAGUUUCUCGUAAGGGCAGGCUCAUGGCGAUAGGUUAUUCUAGUUGGAGUCUAUAUAAGCUCUAGGUCUAAGUAUACUGAAUGAGUCUGGUAAAGUUCCUGUGGCUAGCGGGGAAGCAGUUUACUAUAUUAAUAAGGUCUAGUGUAAAACAAUACUCUAUUAAUAAGGUCUAGUGGAAAACAAGGUGAAAGUAGAUUCCGUAAAAGCUAACAACCAUUUGAAAGCCCGGCCAAGCGGGCAAGCAACUCACUGUUACCUUGCAUUCAAUAGCUGCUCCUUCUGUCCUCACUGUGUCCCUUUAACGUGCACGUGGAUAUCUAUAACUAUGGAUCGGACUGGAAGCUGGCUUAAUUCCUAUCGCAAGAGCGAGUCAGGAUCCAAGGCAAGGUGACGAAGGUAAUAGGGAAAGUGCGUCGACCGCGCCAUCUAGCGAGAUCAAAGGACUUAUCUUCUUUUUUCCCAUGGUCAACAAUCGGCUUCACUCGUUGAUUGCCACAGAUAAGCUUGGACUAUGCAUAUGGAAAACCUGAUGACAUAGAGACGUGGAAUACCUUCCAAAUCCAAGACAAGAGCCUUACUUCCUUUAGUUCAAACAAGGGAUGCAAGCAAAGCAAGGUGCUAAGAGCUCCCUCGCACUCGAUAAGAAGAAUGGUAUAUAGCCUUUCCAACCAAUUACCGUGUGUUGUGACAUCAAUACCAUAAGCCCUUAUUUUUGGUUCAGAAGUUCCUUUACAUACUAGGAAUCGCGUCUCUAAAGUUAGAUGAGAAGGAUUAGAUAUUUGGCAUUGCCUUCCCUUACUUACUAAUGGUAAAUCAAUCAGUCAAACCUUUUCUUAUUCACGUAGCGCGCCUUUCUAGUUGCCUAUUCUUUGUGCGUGGGUGGGGAUAUCUUCUACUAUUGAUUAACUUGCCCUCUCGUAAAUAAGGGGGAAGGAAACUAGCCAUACUGCCGAAAAGAAGUCCCUCCCGAACAGCCGGAUUCGGAUUAGUUCAAAUCUAACUAGCUAGAUUCUCUUGCUCUAGGCCUAUUCUUUGACUUUUCCUAUUCCCUGCUCUACUUAAUGUGCGAGGAGGAAUAGAGAUCGACAAGCAAGAGUAAGGCCUCUUUCUUUCCUUAUUAGCUAAUAGUGCCUAACUUUCCUUCGGGCAUCUUUAUCAGACAAGAAAUAAGAUCAAAUAGAAUCCGAUUUUGGACAUUAAAGAGUCGUAAAGCAUCGAAGCAAAUAGCUCUUAAAAGGAUACCUAUCGAAUAGGCUUUGGCACGUCGAGGAAGAGAAUAAGCUCUUUGAUACUGCGCUAGCAGAGUAAAGGGACGGAUAGACAGCUUACUUAACCUUGAUGAAAUGAGUCGAGGGGGCUGACUCAAGCUAGUGAAAAAUGCCUCUUACGAAAGCCUUCUUUCUAUGCCUGUGCCCCAAAAUUGGGCUAGGUAAGAAAAAGGGUAAACACUAGUAGCUGCGAGCCUAAGAUCAAAGCAAGUUCCAUCGUGCCGAUUACCUUGGCUUCUGUAUCAUGAUACAUAGAAGAAGCACUCUUGACUCUUGUCGCGAGUCGACCGUUCAGAGCUUAGAACAAAAGAAAGAAGAUAACCCUUCUGUCGGCUUAUUCAAACCGAUUAUUGGAAAUAAGAGCAACCCACUAAAAUCAGGUAUUCUUUAGAUAAUAUAAUGAACUAUUCCCUUAUUAACUUGCUAACUACCUAUAACGCGAAUAUAAGGAAGUCAGCUGCUUCGAUUCCCUCUCUUGCAAGUGUUCCAGUCCUAAACAUAUACAUAAUAGCUAAUUAUUUCCUACAGUUAAAGAUUCUAACAACCUGCUAUAGACUGUUUUGAUCUUAUAAAGAACGGAGCGGAGAGGAAAGAGAGAGAGAUCGCUAUUAUUCACUGGUUAUAGCUUUACCUACGGAAAGUUGAGCUACGAAGAUCCGCUGGUCGUAGAAGAGGAAACCCUCCAAAGUGAGGCCGAGGACGACAACUAAAAGGACCUGCCAUUGAAAGCAAUUGAAAGCUGCUGCAAGCUAAAGCAACUCCCACUUCUUCAUAGUCCAUUCUACCCGUAUGGAUCUGGAUCGGUAUCAAUUCCAAAGGAUGUCCUAACUUGUCGCUGCCAGUAAUUUCAUAAUGUAAGUGCGCCUAUACGUAAGCCGGAUCCCAGGCUCCAGGGCCCAUCUCUGUCAUAUUGGCAAGCCAAAGAAGAUAGAAAGCCUGCUUCACCUUUACUUCCUUCCGUACCGGAUUCAGAGUCUGCUCUAAAAGAAGCCAGUGAGUCGAUGUCUUAUGGAGUUCAAUCAGUAUCGGGUCAUUCAAAGGUUUCAGCUCUGGUUCCAAUUGUAUCUGUGGUAUAUCUCUUCUCUCUUGUUCCCUUUCCGGGGAUAAGAGAUCCUGUUCUUUCCCUUUCCUUGCUACUAUCCGAACUUUACUACUAGUUUCAGAAGAUAGUCAACCAGUUUUUCAGGCAAGGAGCGCUUCCUCUAUAGAAUAUGGCAGAUGUCCGAACGGAUUUCCCCAAUAGCGGAGCAGCUAAAGGAAGUGCAUUCAUUCUUUUCCAAGUGUGGGGCAGGAGUAGGUUUCAUCAAUCUGAAUAGACAUAGAAUUCCCAAUAUGGUCUUUGGCUGUUUUAUCAUCUCUAGAAUCAGCAGUUCUCGAAUAAGCUGUGGGACAAAGCAAAUGCCUUUUUGUUCACAGCAGACUUAGCAGACGAUUAUCGGCAGUAUGGUCAGGCUUUGAUUACAGGAUUUCCGGAUUGACCGCUUCUUCCCUUCCAGUUGAUUGGGAAUAAAGGCUGCUUGGAUCUUUGCACGAAUAAACGGAGAGUCAAAGGAACUCGCCCCUGUGUGAUAGAAUUGUUUUAAGGAAUGGAAUCAGAAGCAUUGAAUGCGGCUAGGCUAGGGCACCUUAUUUGAUGAAUAAAGGUAGGGUAGUUCAGUUGUCAACAAGGGAAUAGGUAUGCGGUACAAUAAGUAAGGCUCGGGCUUCUGCUUUUUCUUCUUAUUAAUAGGUGUGUAGGAUUCCCUUUUUCUUGUUUGAAUUCCCAGUUGUUAGUUUAAGUAUUGGUAGCAGUUAUAUAGGCUUGUUAUCAUUAUGAAUCUGAUACUACUAAGUGAAACCCGUGUAACGAGGUGAGGUGGUCUUUCUAGUGUUUAUUUCGUCCCUUACGCCUUAGUCCGAUUCUUUGACUAAAAAGUAGACUUCUUGGCAGGGAUGUACUAACCUUAGAGUUGAUAUACGCAUAUACCUGCAGUUCGAAUACUUAUCUUAUGAAAUUCCCCUGAGUUAGCUUAUGAACCACACCUCCACUUCAAUAACAAUAACACAUAGAAUCAAGAAUGAACUCAACGUUCAAGUAGUCGAAGUCACUAACAAACAAGCAAGACUAAAACAAGUAAAGGCAGGCUCAUAUCAUAGGCAGUAAAGCCAGGGUUGGUAUAGUUUGGUAGUUCGGAGGAGCAGACUAAUGGUAAUAGGCAAUAAGGCUGGGGGAACUAAGGAGUAGAGUUUGGAAAGUGAAGACAGGGUUUAGAGCAAGUAGUUUCAGAGUCAAAGGAAGGAAAGACAGACUUAGAAUUGAUUCGGGGAUUCCAUUUAUCGCUUAUAUUAUGAGAAUGAGAAUUAGGUUAGGCGCGUACUUUAACUAACCAAAGGCAGUGUUAAAACAUGUACAGUAAGGGCUGUUUAGGUGCCAGUAAAGUCAGAAUAAGAUGAGUAACUACCAGAUUUAGGACGAGGGGACAGUCAAGCAGGAAUACAAGAAAGUAAUGUAAGGCUAUUAGACACCAUUGAGUUUGAAAGCAAAGGUAGUUAGGGCUUAUAGCUAUAAGUUAUAUUCUAUCAGGUAGUGGUUGAUUCCCAGUUCAUGAGGUAAGUCUCGUAUUAGCGGUGAUUUCAUUCUCGUAGGUAGCAUCCCACUUUUGAGGUUUCUUCUCUUUAUUGAGUAUUGAUAUCAUUAAUAGGGUAGCUCAAUGUAAUCGACCCUUGUUUCCCUUUUCAAUCCUGCUCGGCAGUAGUCAAUUCCUCGUUAUGAGGUUGGUUGCCAGUUAGCCGCUAUAGUCUUAUCGGUACAGGUUCAAUUACUUAUUCUGGGUUGGGUUUAUUGGAAGCACUAGUUCAUUUAUUCGAUAUAGUAGUAUAAUUCCCAUAUAGGUGGGGACCGGUCUAAUCUAAUGGGGUAGUUCUAGUGCUUGAGAGCAAGGAAAGUCGGACUAAGGUCUCCAAAGGCAAGAGCAAGGCUUGAACAUAGGCAUAGAUAAUAAGGCUUGGCUACUACCUGCUGGCUUAGCACCUAUAGGCAUUGAGCUCAGUGAUAUAGGUUUUCGAAAAAAGUAACCGGUUGAAAGCAAGCAAUAGGAAACUAGUAGUGACUUGCCUGCUUGGCGAAUCAAACUCAUAAGCAAAAGAAGAAAAUAGGACCCCAGUUGAUAAGAAUUCCAUUCAUAAGUAGCCGACCCGGGCCCAGCAGUAAAAGAAAUUCACACCAGCAGCCAAGGCUUUCAGCACCUUACUUGAAAACUUCUACUCUUUUCUGUUAGUCUUAUUUUACUGCCUUAUAGGUUAUAACUUGUAGCGCAUUCUAGUACGCUUAUCGGGAGUAGCCCCGGUAAGUCCAUGUAGUAACUAUUAGAAUCAAAACCAGAGAUGUGGAAUCAAAUAAGUAAGUCAAAGGCAGGUAAGGAUACCCGAGCUAUGUACUCCCUGGAAUGUAGAGUAGUGGUAUGACACUUAAAGGAAUGCGAACUCAAAAGUGAUAUUUGCACUAAGAGGGGGCAACUCAUAGGCUUGCUCAGAAGACUCAGAAGGGAGGUGAUAUGAUCUAGGGCCCAUCAUAAUAGACUAACAGGGCAGUACACAACAAUGAAACCACUUACUUAUAGAUAGAAUCGAACCUUCCCCAGGCCCACAAGAGGCAAACCCUUACCCGGACCAUACAAUAAUGAAAGUGACAAAGUAGGGAUCCAACCACUGCUAGCAAUAAUGCAACUAGUAAUAUCAGAGGCUUCAGCAAUAACCACACAGUAAUAAAGGUCUGGCACUACUUACCUCAAUUCUGUAAUUAACCCUAGCGCAUCUAGUAUAAUAGGGUAUCUGGCCUUUGAUUCUUUAAUGACGAGCUCUAGUUCUAAGAAGACCCUCUGUUUAUGCGUGUGUAAGUUAGUGGACUGCGCGUCUAAUCCAACGCCAAUUAUGAGUAUCAGAGCCAAAUCCAGUAGAAGUCGUCUUAGCCCUAAGGUCCUAUUCCUUAUUGACUUUCUUGCUUGUUAUUCUUUGAUUGGUGUUAUUCAGCAGUUCCAUUCUUUCCAUAGUGGGCGGAUUCCCAGCUAGCGGUUAAGUUUUCUCGGUAGUAUUGAGAUUAACUUGGCAUUGCAUAAGUCUUUAUUCCGUGCUCAACCCUUAUUAGCAGUAGGGCUGUUCUAAUAUAUCUUGCUUUACCUAUAAAGAGAUUAGUGCCAAAUUCACUAUAUACCAUAACUUACUUAGUCAUAUUUAGGUGAAGUAGUACCAGGUUGAGAUGAAGGAUAGUAGGAAUCAUAUUCAGUAGAAGGAUCCGUAUCAGUGUAGAGUAGUUAAGUGAGGAAUGCGGGCGUUGGGGAAUACAUAUUUGAGAUCAGUAGCCUAAGAGUGAAAGCUAGGAAGGACAGCUUCGGUUUCAGUAGUAACAGAGUGAGUGUCGAGGUUCCAGUAUUGUUGGCAUUGUUUUGAUCUAUGUUGCAGUAGCGCAUUCCUAGUUAGUGGGGUAAGUCCUAUUUCUUUAGUGGAUUCUUUCCAGUAAGUAGUUCGAAGCCGAUACUCACUACUCAUAUUCUGGAUUUCAGGAUUGAUUCUUGUAGCUUAUUCUGAUCCCCAGCUAUGAGUUAUAGCCUCGUUAGACAGUUAAUUAAAGAAUACAGGCCUUGUUGGCAGCAAAGAGCAAUACUUAUGACUUAGGAAGUAGGAGUGGGGGGAGGUUGUCAAUAAAGUCAUACUCCAAAUUAGGAUAGUAGGAAUCAUAGCCGGUAAGGUAGUAAAUAGAAUAGCAUAGGGCAUUGUAUGAUCCUGCACAUAUAGUAUAAGAAUGGAGUUGCCAUCAGUAUUAGUAUCAGCGGCACCAGUAUCAGAAGAAAACUCAGCAGUAACAGACCUAAGCCUUAUUAUGCUUGUCCAUUUUCAAGCCUUGCUCUCUGUAGCUCCCAACUAUGACUCUUACGAUCCCACCCUAGUGUCUUUAUUUACCUUAUCUUGGCCUGCGACUCCCGACCUCACAUCUGUAUUCGAGGGCCACUUACUUAUUGAAUUCUUAUGGUUGAGUCCCCAGUUUCUUAGGUUGGGUCUUUUGAUGGAACUACCUAUCCUUAGCACUAUACUUGGAAUUCUGUAUUUCCACUCUUAUUCCUCUACCGAUGGGUUUGAUCGCCUAUAUGCACUAUUGCGUUAAGGUAUAUGCUGCAGUAUUCUUGACUAUGGGUUAGAUUCUAAUAAUAGUUGUUUCAUACCGAAGUAAGGAAAGGCAGACUUCAAGUAGGGGGUGACACUACAGAACUCAACUCAACACUAGAGAAUGAACUAGUCACUGACAAGACCAACUAUGUGUUAUGCGGUAGUGGGUUCUUCAGUCAUAAUCAAGCGACUCCUAAGGAUCGGAACUUCUACUUUCACUGGUGCUUAUAGGGUUUCAACUCAACGCUGGGAAUUUCACUAGUGGCAAAUAGGCUUACUGCCUCUGUCACUAAUGCUACCGAGACUGAAAUCACUACCUGAAAGAUCUGGACUGGGAACUCAGGAUCCAACUAAUGAUCUGGAUCUUUGCUUCUUAGAUCGAAACAACUUACUUGCUUUCUGGAUUUUACCAGUUAGCAUUUCCUUCCUUGAAAACUGGAUUGAACCUAGUAGGGCCCGCGCCUCUCUGACUUUUCUUCUUUAAGUAAUGGAAUGGAACUUUGCUCUACUGACUUCCAAUCUGAUAUCCUUGCCUUUAGUCUCUAGUCACCGAUCCCCGGAUCUUUGCGUUACUACAUAUCAGUAUUACUUCACUUUAUCUAAAACUAGCAUCCCUUUCUUUUGGCCUUGCUUUAUAUAUCUUAAUUAGAAGAAACCUAGAAAUACAUAAGUAUGGCCCUAAUACAUAAUUCCAGCGCACCUACAAAUAGGAAUUUCACUAAAAAGUCAGAAAUCCAUUAUUGCUAACAAGAACUUAACUCAGAACUAAUACUUUCACUACUGUUUCCGAGCCUACUAUUCCUGUCUUUCUAUUAUUCUUGCCUUACUUGUUUGAAAACUAAAACAACCGGUUAUCGCUCUUGGGCUACAGGCUUUUCUUCUUACUUUUGAGCUCGGGCCUGUCUCUCCUUCCUAUAAGGUUGUAACUACUGAGUCGGAUCCUUCCCUGGUUGACCACAAUACUCACUAGCAGAUUAAACACACUAGAUCUAUGAUACUUUACACCGAUGUGAAGCUGGAACGAUACUGAUGCGCAUGGGAUAGGACCAAGGCCUGUGUAAGAAGCGGCUACUGCCCAGGAUAGUGAGAAUAAAAGACUAACCGACUAGACAGCAGCUCUUUGAGUCAGAAGAAAAACUCACCCGCUUUUUCAUUCAUUUCCCCAAACAGUCAUUAUUAUCCUAGAGGGAAAGUGAGCAUUGUCCUAGAAUUUACCUAAAGGAAGAUGCUUCCCCCUUGAUUCUGGAAUACGCUUCCAUUUUGUAAACCUUUGUUCAAAAGAAAGGAGCGGUAUAGACGAACUAAAAAGCAAGAAAGGCAGUGGAAGAGUUAGACGGCAGCGUUAUGGUCUGUGUUUGCCCGCAGCUCUAUUCUCUUAUUAGUAUUGAUUUGAUUGUACUGUACUCGUAUGUGUUUGACUACUUUUCUUCUUAGUUACGAGUUUCAGUCCUGUUGACAUUGGUUGGAUUAUGAUAGGCUUAGGUUCCACUCUUAUUUCAGAGUUCCGCUCUUAUAUGCGCUAGAGCGUAUCUCUCCUGCUGAGUUUGGUUCUAUUACUUCUAAGCUAUUACUUAUUACUCUUAUUACUUAUAUGGGUUCAACCCAAUAAUCCAUAUUUGAUGAGGUAAUGCAAGGUACAACUAACUGCGAGUCUGAUAGGUGGGAAAGUCAGUCUGUUACUACUAACUGAGAGAAAGGAGUAGAGGCCUAAAGCCCAGAAGUAAGGUUUAGAGAAAGAGGUGUCAGUUUGUAAGUAAAGAGUAGCAGGCUAUGAGUGGGCAGUGAUAGUCUUCUUACUUAAUGGAUUGGAUUAGCUCACUAGUACCGAAGCCUUGUUUGCUGUUUGGGCAAUGUUGGAUUCUAUUGGUUUUAUACGCUAUAUCAUCGUGUGCACCUCUAUUCUUAUUGUUAUGAGUUCUAUUCUUAGUGCAAUUCCUCUAUUGGUUGCUCCAUUCCUUUUUUCAGGGAAAUAGCACAGGGGAUAAAGCAUAUGGGUACGGGAAUCCAGGCUAAGACUUUGUAUGGCUACCUUCAAGCUGUAUCUCUGCUUGCACUCUUCGACUGCUACACACCAAUGCGAAUCAAAACUAAUACUUCCAGGAAUGAGACCUGUGCCCUAACCACUGCAACUUCAAAGAGAGAAUCGAACCCGGCAGUACACGCCCUAUUAUAUGCCCCCGAAGCCUAAAGCCUUAUUACCUAUGUCCAUUUCCGAGCAAUGGAUAAGAGAAGGAGUUAAUUGAACCUAUGGAGCACCGGGUCCAGGUAUAGAACAUAGUAAAUACCCACCAUCCGUUCCCGAGUUCAAUCAGUUCUCUUUAUUCACAAGUCCUGUCUUCGUAGAUGUUUUCAGCGGGAAGGAACGGAAAGUUCACUCGAGAAUAAUAAUCCGCUGGCUAGAUAAGAUGCUUGAUAAAGAGUAGGAGCAGUCAAAAGAUAAGAAACAGAAGAUGGAGCGUACUUGAGUCUAGCGUGAGGGCUGCCUAGCAGAGUUAUUAUUCGGAAAGAUAGAUGUGAAUCAGGAAUUAGGUUCCACUUCUCUUAUUAGUUGUGCGGGAAAUUCCAUUGGGUAGCAAUGCUGUCCGUAUAGUAAGUCUCACUUGGGACCUAACUCAGCCUUGUGUUUCAUGCGCUCCCCUACUAUACAAUAUUGCUCCUCUAAAGGUAUAAAGUAAGGUCUCGCUAACCUUGACCGAGUGGGAAGAAUAGGAAAGCAGCUAGCUGGGUAUGCUCCUGCAGUCGGAAACAGGGUUAGGUUAAGGUGAAAGGAAGGCUAAAGUCCGGGGUGUUGGAAUCAAAGCAAGGGUUGGUAUAGUGUUAUAGCUAGGAGAGAUAUACUGAGAGAAAGUAGAGGCAGAGUCAACCUAUCAAUACAUAAUGAAGUGCUGCAGUGUCAGUUUCAAAGCUUGUAAGGGCAGGCUUCUGGGCAACCGUAGGGAUUUCAAUAACAAGUAAAGGCCUUUAGAGCGGGGAGUCUUAUCUUCGUUUCAGUGCUAAAGAAUGCCGGGUAGUAGUAAAGGGAGUCUGAUCUUCGUUUCAGUGCUAAAGAACGCCAGGUAGUUGUAAAAGAAUAAGAACAAGUAAAGACAGACUUACAGAAGAGAAGGGCAGCUUUAAGGUCAGUAGCUACAUUCUAUUAUUCCCCAGCUCUAUUCUUUCCAGUAGUUAAUUAAGUCUUAUCAGAUAGUAGAAUCAAUUCUCGUUAGUAGAAGUAUCGGUCUUGGUAGCCUCGAUACCAGUAUCAUAGGAAGUACUCGCAUUCCCGUGUUAGAGUUUCAAGUCUCGGAAAGGUACUCGUGUUGGUUUGAAAGCAAAGAGAUAUAGACAUAAAGGAGCAAUACAGAGAGUAUAAGUAAGGAAGGAGAGACUUAGAUGUCAGGGGUUAAGCUGUUCCUAGUCAAUACAAAUAUGAGUUCGUAGUUAGACAGUGUUAUAACCUUUGACCUUAGAGUCGGAUUCCCUGUUCCUGUCUUAAGGUAUUCUAAUACGUAUCCAUAUCCCUUGUUCCAAGUUGAAGUAUUAGCCAUAUCAGAGUAAGCCUGUAUUCCCAUCAUGACUAGAAGGAGGAGUUGGCUCCAGAGUUAGGAGGAGAAGGCGUAUAAGCCAAUAAGGUUAUUAUUGUUAGUUGACUUACAGUUACAAAGUAUCAAUUUCGAAGUGAAGCAUUGUGUUUAUAUUCCUCUUAUAUGGUCGAGUGAGAAAGAAUCGAGUAGCGUUAGAGGAGUUAUUUUCCAAUCAAUUAGCUAUCCAAGUGAAGGUUGGUAACUACACGGAUUGUCCUAUCUUCUUUAACAGGGGGUCGAGGCCCACGUGGGGUUUUUUCGUAUCAAGAAAGAGGGGGCCAAGCAACGACUAGUUUAAUCCCGAGUCGAAUACUAUACAGAAGGUUAAGAUCAUCUCUUUUCCUUUUCAUGCCUACCAGAGCAGGAGUUCAAUUGAUUUCUUGAUUUCUUGAUUUAGAAUAUAUUUCUUGAUUUAUUGAUUUCUGUCUUUCCUUAGUCUUGUUAAGAGCGAUAGGUAACUAACCCAGCUUCUUUAUCGUAGAUCCACCCAGAACUACUACACCUUAUACUAGAUGCGGGGGGGAAACAUAGCGAAACUGCCGCUAGUAAUGAUAAGUGACUUACCGGUGCGGUGUAAUAUGAACUCGAACUGCACUGUGCACUUAUUAUGUUUUAUGGGAAAUGCCCUAGGAAGAGAGAAAACCCGCUUUCAAUUGCUUUUUGCCUAUCAAAUGGGGUAUUCGUUAUCGGAAUAGCGUGUACUCUAAAUUAUUAGUAAGGGUCCUGCUUCUAAGAUACUAAUCAUAAGGGAAGGGUCUUCCACUCCGGAUAUCCCUAGUAAUGAGCUCCUCUUUCUUGCCCACCUCCCCUCUGUAAACUAAUAUUGAUGAAACUUUACCUUGACCUAGAACUAUCACUAGCAUUGGGAAAUUCCCUACUGAAUGAAGUACUUACUUUUGAUGAGCAUUUGGCGUUUUACCGAUCAAAAAAAAAGGCAGUGAGGUGGUUUUAGCUAAUAGAUCGAUCCACUUCUAUGAUGUUUUUUCUAUGCAAUUCAAAACUUCAAUACCAGGAGAUAGUUCAAUACCAGGUUAAUGCCUUUGUAGUAGUGUAUUGUCCCUUGAGUGAAAGGCUUACUAGCGCAUUCAAUGAUUUUAUCGAAGUAGAGAGGUCGGGAAGUAGAGAAUAGUUGCCUGUUGCCUGAGUUAGAUGAGCCCAUAGAUAUAGGAGAAGAAUGAAGUUGGCUCCUGCCCCAAUAAGGAUAGAGUGGACAAAGUAGAGGCCAGGCCAGGUAGCACUUCUCCUGUUCGAGGUAAAGUAUAAAGUGUAGUGGAAAGUCCUGUUUUCGGGAUCAAAAGAUAGGGCAAGAUAUGAAGCAUCAGAAUAAAGGCAAACAGUAGAUGAAAAGUCAGUAGAAAGUAAGCAGUUAGAGCUGUUUCAAGACAAGAGAAGAAGAUCCAUCUUUAAAAGCAGUGCGGGAAGGAACUUCAAGUGUAGCCGAAGCAUAAGCCAUAUCACAGGAUCCGUUCGAGUUUCAUCCUAUAUGUUAUCUUCUAAUAAGAAUGGGAAUUGGAAUGUAGGAUCUCUGCGAAACUUCUCUUAUGGCUAAUGUAGUACUGCUGAAGAAGGCUUAUUUCCAAGUACAGGCAAGAAGUAAGAUGACACUUAUCCAUAUACGAUCUAGUCCAUACGAUCUAGGUGUUGGCGAAAGAAAGGUGGAAUAGACUCGAUGAAGCUGUUUCAACAGAUGAAGCAGCCAGUGGUUCUUUUCUCGUAUAGAUAAGAGAGUAUUUGCUGUACGUAAAUCAGGUUACGGUGAAGCAUCUCUGGACUUUGACUCAGUAGUGUUUGCUGCUUACUUUUUCAGUGUAGUUACUUUAUUCCAUAUAGAGCAAGAGGUUUCAAGUAGGCUUACGUUCAUCUCUGAUAGAAGCUAGAAGCUCCUCGUAAAGUCAACGGGAAAAAGAAAACAGUAAGAUUUGAUAGGGGUGGGUCGGAUGCUCAAACAAAGUCGUUGAAUUGAAUACGAAUUCCAGAGUAAAGCUCCUAACGUGCCUGGUAAUAAGUAUCUUAUAGCCCACUACACUACGCUUGGGAAGAAUAUACUGUGAAGCAGAAGAAGUAAAGCCAUACAGAUCAGAAGCGGUUGCCGAAGCCGAAUCUACUCUUUCAGAAUUGGUUUAAGCUGUAGGAUAAGAAACAGUAUAAAGUGAGUCAUCUACCAGAGAAGCAUCUGAUGCGGGACGGGAAUCGAACUUGUUUCAAAAGUCAGCCGAUUCCUAAAGUGCCCUUCUUGUGUCUAAGCCAUAGAUAGAGGUGAUUGUGUUGAUAAGUGAAUCAGUGUUUUUUAAGUCUACUCGAUAAAAGCAAGAUAAGUUUUCUAAGAAGUCAAGUAUCUCGGUGUUGUUUUGUUGACUCUCAAUCAGAAAGCCUAAAACUAUCAAUCAGGUCAAUCAAGUGUUCCCGCCUAAGAUCCGGAUAGCGAUCUUGACUCACCUGUGCCAACUCUAUUUGCUCUAUCUGCGCCAACUCUAUUUGUUCUAUAAGUAAGAUUUCACUGUUCAAAGAAAGUCACCUAUCUUAUUAAAGAAAUGAAAUAUCUCCUAUAUAAAUGACAUAGCUACUAUCUUAUUAAAGAAAUGAAAUAUAUUAUAAUACAAGCUACUACCGAAAGAAGCGCAAGCAUCUGAACCAACUCGACUGGAACCACAUCCCGCUACACCUGUAUUAGAUUCUUUCUCGCCCGACCCCCCUACACUUAUUUCAAUGAAAACUUAGGAGACUAGACUACCCAAAGAAACUAUACUACCGCUGGAAGAUACCUCGCGGAAGAAGGCUAUUCUCUAAGUAUGUAAGGGAAGGCUUGCACGCCUGUGUCGUAUAAAACCUAUGUUCAACCUACCACUGGAAGAUACCUCGCUUAAGAAGGCGGAUUUCCCAGUAAAGCUGAAGAAGGCAAUAGUCCAAGUAGAAACAAGAAAGCGGAUUGAGAGUCGACAACACCACUGUUUGUUGCUUCAUAUGGGCGGCAUCUGAUCCUAGAACGGAUCUUGAUCCUUAUUUGGCUUCAAAUACGGUUCCCCUUCUCCCGCUUAUGAACUUGUCGCCUUUAUUGGACUUGCUUCUGAACACUAUGGUUCCUUUCCACUUGAUACUUGCAAUAUAGUAGUAAGGGAGCAGCGAUAUACUCCUAUCUUUCUACCUUACACCGGCUAAAGAACCUUGAUACUGCUAUCGCCACAAUUCAGAAGUCUGGGCCAGUGUCAACUAAUACUACUACGCGUGAGAGGAGAAGGUCAACGAGCUUGACAAGCGGGUAAUACAAGAAAGGGCAAAAGCUACGGACUCAAUGGAGCUCCUGUCAGAACAACUUCCGCUGUUGAACAAACACAGAGCAUUGCUUAUUGCCCGGCGAAAGAGAAGUAAGCUAAUGUAUCGUUACUUGAGCUGACUCCUAACUUGUUGUGAACUCAGUCAGAUCUAUCAUAUUACCUAAUUUGAUACUAUACUCUUUUCUUGAAACCUAACUCAUAUUACUCGAAACUUGAAUCUAUCAGCAGGGCACCAUACCUACCCCUUGAAACUCCAAUACCAAUUAGUGCCCCAGAACCUUAGCAGCUUUGGUUUCCGAACCUGACACUAUAAACUCACUUAUUGAAACCUGACACUAUAAACUCACUUAUUGAAUUGAACUGAGUGCACAACACUAGUGGGUUCAGCAGUGAAGUUUAGGCCUAGUAGAAAGUAUGAAAACGAAAUGCACCUUAUGUGAUAUCUAAUUAAGUAACAACGCUCCUUACUCAAAGCUACAAAACGACUAACCCCCUUCCUUCAGCCUUAAAAGGAGUACUGGCAGGAAGAGAGUGUACCUGGGUAAGAUUAACGGCUCAAAUCAUUAGAAGGACAGAACAAGCAACCAUAACUCCGGCACGUUUAAGUAGCUCAGCUCCCAAACACCAUUUCGAACUAAGUGAACUUUAGCGGGGGCGCUUAGGAUAGUUUCAGAUUCUUUUCUUCAUGGUUGACUUCACCUAGUCCCUAACUCCAAUUCUCUGUAUCAUUGCGAUUCCAAGUAUCAAGUAAGGUUGAAAGAGGCAUUUUGUUCUAAAGAGUCCCCCAUACCACUAUAUUACCAUUCUAUGGAGGAAUCUCCCCAUAUUAUAUUCUAAGGAGUAAGGGCGGAAGCCAUGGAGUCAAUUCUCUUCCUUUUGAAAAAGGCAGUGUUUCAAAGUGAGUUUUGAAGCAAAGCAGUGAGUUGUUGUUUAAUCUCUUCUAUCGUAUAUGCACUCCAUGAAUCAAUGAAGAAAUUGAAGUUCUUUUCCUGUCUUUAUCGGCUAACGCUUAUUCUUGUUUAGAGCACAAGAAGCAAGUGGUGGAGUUAACUACAAAAUUCUAUAAUAUGCUCGCUAGAUUCAAAUAGAAUAUGCUCGAUAGAUUCAAAUAGAAUAUGCUCGCUAGAUUCCAUUAGAAUAUGCUCGAUAGAUUCCAUUAAGUGAACAAGCACCGGGCCAAACAACUAGACAAGUAACGACUACUGAAAUUAUGACUUGCUGAAUUCAUAACUAUAGCUCAUCUAACUCUUUGCAACUAAAACUCCAUCUCAUCCCUCUCUGGCUCUUGGAACUCUGGCUCCCUUUAGCCACGAGGAAAGGACACUGUAGCUUGCACUUAUUAACGCUGCUUGGCUGAAUUGAUUGAACUCUGUUAGCGCAACACGUCGAACUCACUUUAGCUCUAUAGUCUGGAGCUGACUAACGCUAUAGUCACUAACGCCAUAGUCAGGAACUCUACCCUUGCUUUAAACAUAAUAAAUGGAGAUUAUUUCCUCAGCGGAAACGGACCCCCCUGAUUGAUUUCCAGCUUCGUCUUCGGCUAAAGAUCCUGUUCCUUACUAUCCACUUGAAGAUUACUUGCGCACUGUUGAUUCUUCUGCAACUGUUUCAAAAUACCGCUCUGCUCCUGAUUCUAUACGAGACUAAAUGGAAACGACUCUAUCGUAGCCAAACACUUGAACAGCAUCUUGGUUUGUUGGCGCAAGUGCAAGAUCAGAAACAGAAUCUAGGACUGGCUUUGAAAGGUAAUAACAACCUUGUAGUGCUCCCGCUUUGGGGUAAUAAUCAAGUUCGGUUUGGUGCUUGGCUUUACGUCGGUAGAGAGAAUUCCGUUAUUGGCUUUCCCUUUGCUUUGCGUGGAUAAUGUCCUUACCUGGAAAGCCCUUGCGCUAACACUUAUUUGAGUUGCGGGAUGCGGGGUGCGAGCGAGUUUCAUCGUAUCAAUUGUGUGCUAGUUUCAUCCUAUAAAGAGGAUCAUCUCUUUGUGAACGAAUACCCAAUACACGCUUAAGCAGUGCGAAGAAAGUCGACGAUAGAAUAAUUAGUAUUAGAGAAAGAUCAUAAGCGGGAUAAGUUCGAAAGGCAGCUACAAGUAGUUCUUUUGUAGAAAGGGGAAGUAAGUAUAAACUGUUUCAAGUAAGUAAGCUAAAGAAUUGCCAGUUCGACUUGCCUUGCAUCCGUUCUUGUUGAAGAAAAGGUCGAGGUCGGCAAAAGAAGUAGCUUGAGUAUCGAGAAUCCGCUGUAGGGCGAGGAAAUGAAAAAGGGGCAGAACUCACAGAAGCUUACUUGAGCGAAGCGGGGUUAGGAUUAGGUUAUCUAAAUCACUGAAGGAAGAGUUUGUUGUGCAAUGAAAGCAGUCAGCAUAAGAGGGAUUAGAUGCUGGUAAGGAAGCAUAAGAAUCAGAGGGCCAAGUAACUGCAACAAGCAACAGAGAAAGAGAGUGAUUGGUUAAGGCAACGGAACAAGCAAGCACAAUAACUCCACGAAACGACUUUGACAUAGAAUUAGGAAUAGAAAAUAGUGCGCGGUGAACUGAACGCGUAGACAAACAAGGAUUGUCCCCCCGCUUACCGAAACAAACAAGCUUUGUAUAUUGUAUAGCUCAAAGUAACGGUGUUUUUUAAAAACAUUAGAUAAUGUGUUUAAACCUCGCGUAAGGCAGUUGUCUGGAGCAAGUACUGUGAGUUUUCGUAUCGGCGUUAUCGAGUUCCACUGGUUGCAUCUUAUUAAUGUACACAGAUUCUGGCAGAGGGUUAGUCAUCAAUCAAUAGGGAGCUUGCUUACUCAAUCAUUGAUUCUACGAGUCUCUUAUAGCAUCUACUAAAUUCUACGAGUCUCUUAUAAGCAUCUACUCAAUAAGGCAUAGAUUCUCAUAUUCUAUGAGUCUCUUAUAUCCCUAUUGAAAACUAUCUUAUUACUGUACUGUCUGUACCACCAAUCUUAUUACUGUACUGUUUGUACCACAUUAUGUCACUUAUUAACUCUAGUAACUCACUUCUAUAUGUUAGCUUGUUCUGUGCCGAUUGUAACUCACUUCUAUAUGUAAGCUUGUUCUGUGCCGAUAUUAGAUUGCAAAUGUGUUUGUGGCUUCUGAAGAAAGUGGAGUUUUCGGAUAGCCCACGUAGCCGUGCUUGUGUUGUCAUAGAGUUCCAUUCUUGGCUUUACCCUUGUUGUCCUAUCGUAUAAGGAGGAAGAAUGCUUAGCCCACUUCACUAGAAAUGCUGUUAAGUCGAGGGGCACAGUCUCAAAAGAAGGAAACGAGAAAUGCGGUUAAGGCGAAGGUCAAAAAAAGGGAUACUCUAUAAAUGAAGUUCUGUUAAGGCGAAGGGAACUGUAUCAAAGGAGAAAUCAGAAUAACAAAAAAAAACCAAGUAUACGAUGCUUAAGAAAAAAGAAGAAAGAAUAUGAAAAACCCAGUAUACAUACGAGGCUUAAGAAAAUAGGAAAAAGAAACAGUGAGCUCCCGACGAAGAAACCGUAGAAAGAUCAUUAGCUGAAGAUAGAUCCGUGUUGGCGCCGAGAGAAUCCGCAGUCUAAGCUGAAAGGAGGGCGCUUGUCAGGUCAGAGCGAGCAGAGGUCAGAUUCAUAAGAGAGAUAUUCCAAUUAAGAACUUCUAAAGUCGACGAGAAUGGACUUUGCCUUAUAGUUGGUUUGUGCUUCUUCAGCGCAGGUUUAGUCUCCAGUAAGUAUACUUUCGAUUUCGAAAGGAAGUAAGGGUGCCGACAUCAAUCAAAUAUUCAAACAGUGAGAUUUAGAAGCAAAGCAGUAAGUAAGUAAGGAAAGAGUAAGGAGUGAGUGAAAAAGUAUACUAUUUUCGUCUAGGAAAGUUGUACUUAGAAGCAGUUCGAAAGCCAAGUGAAGGUCGAGGAAGAAGAAAUUCCAUGCUUUGAAGCGCGUUCGGUUAUUAUUGAGCCCAGUAUCUGCCCUUCAACAAGUAAAGUAGUAGAGUAGUCCAAAGGUUGACUUCACCCGUAAGCUCUAAGUAUUAUAUAAAGUAGAAAGUAUAAGGUAUCAAUCAAGCUAGAAUAGAAGCCCUAUUGCUUGCUCAUUUGCCGUUGCUAGCGUGACUGCAUUUUCUAUUCCUUUGGAACUUGGCUUGCUCCUGUAGCUCUACACUCUAAGUAGUAAAGUGGAGUUCUUGUGCUUAGAAAGUCAGAUGUUUCUGUUUGCCCAGUUCUACUUAUAUCGGUAUUAAGAAGAAGACUCCGGAGCUGGAGUGAGAAAUGCAUUCUUGGUUGACUUUACGGAAGACUGCCCAGGCCCACAACAAGACUCAGUUGAGUUGGUAAGCAGCUUUCUUACAUUCCUUAAUGAUAGGCGGGUGGGAUAGAUUCAAUUACAUACUUUUCAGCAAGGGAAUCCAGAUAGGAAGCCAGGGAAUAAAGAUCUUCAUCUUCUUUAUAGGAAUAGGAGUCAACUCUCACAGUCAAUUCCGCUGCUGCGGAUUCUCUUUCCACUUAUAUUGAUUAUUCCUAGACACUAACUCGUAUACCCUGAACAUAAAGUAAGCCUUAUUGCCCUGAUUUUAUAGCCCAACUCUCAAUAAAGAAGAGCUGUAAACCCAUCUUGUUUGUCAGAAAUAAGAAAAUAGGGCUCGGCUCCUCUUGCCCCAGCAAUGAAGUUCCUUCCGUUUCCAUUCACUGGGAGAAAUAGAAAGAAAGGAUCGAAUUCCUUUUAAGAGUGGAUGAAGUAUGGAACAUCAAUCCAACCUGCAACUAAGUAUUCCAUAGCCCUAUAAGCAGAAGAGGGCUCCAGGCCCCCAACCAUUUACAAAAGUGAAAGAGCCUUACAAAUUCAGUCUGGCUUCAAUAAAACCAUAUAUGAACGAUUAAUAAUUGAACGAGGUAGCCCAGUUUGCCAAUCCAGUUUCCCUAAGGCAUAUGAAGUAAAGACUAUACUAGAAAGCUACAGCAAGGGCCCGAAGUCUCGGUUACCAGAAACCCGUCCCCAUCAAACCCGUAUUGCCCCCACCACUAAACAACCUUUAAGGGGCUUGGCUUAUUCCAUCCAAUCAGUCAAGUUCCAGUAUUGUUCUGCUAGAUUGAAGAAACCUUUUCCUUUAUGUCUUUGCUCAUUGAGUCUCAUUUAGUCAUUUUGGAGAUAGAUAAAGCAGAAAGCUGCGCCCAAAGGUGACCAACUGACAAGGGCGUUGAUAGGUGACUGAUUGAACCAACGGAGCUGUACUUUUCAUUAUGCACUUUUUAGGGCGUGAGCGGCAUUGUCAUUCGCUUUAGUCUGAGGAAGAAGUGCGAUGUAUUUGAUAUAGGAUCUUCUAAUCCGCCCUGACUCUUUGACGGAGUAGGGGGGAAAGGAAAGCAACGAGUAAUUGUAUUUCAUCUAACUAAGAAAAAACCCUCCAAAUGAUGUCUAUAGGCUGACCCGAUUAGUCCUCAAAUGUUCCUCCUUAAGUCGACCUAUGCUUGAAAUACUUACCCUGACCCAGCCACAACGCUCUAGCUUCGGACGAUCCUUCUGAAUAUCUCUAGUCAAAACUCACCAUUCUUGUCUCUAGUCAAAACCACUCACGAAGCUCUUUUAAGUAUAGAGUCCGGAAGGUUUGGGAAAACUGGUUCCAAAUGAAUAGGAAGACUCUGACAUCAGUGGUUAUUGCUUAAUGUUACCAGGCAAGGAACUAGACAAGCAGACAAGCUUACUUAGAGUCUACCCGAGUCUACCCGAGUCUACCGAGUCUACCCGAGUCCACACGAGUCCACCGAGUCUAAGUAAUAUAGGAAUCCUUCUUUUGGGCUCCUGCUAACGCAAAGUAAUCAUUUCACGACUAUACCUCUAUUUCGAAUUACCCUUUACCGAUCUAAACAGUCUUCAUCUUCUGAAUGAAUUGCAUCUUUAGAUUCGGCUUUUCUUGGGGGGAACUCAACGGAGUAUAUAGUCACAGUAAUAACCGCCAAGUAACUACAACAAAAACAGAGAGCCAAGCAGACGAGCAACUACAACAAAAGCAUAGAGCCAAGCUUAGUAUAAUAAAGGCGCAACUACGUUAUCUUACCCCAUCUCUCUACGAUCUCGCAACAAAGAAUGAAUUGAAACAAUCCCUUCCCUAAGCACCGAGUAAAGUCAAACAGGAAAACAUUAAUGGAAAUAUGUAAGUCACUGAUUCUAUAUAAAAGGGGAAUACACCUAGAAACUCCCUUACCGUCAACAACAUCAGGAUCCGGGGGUUCACAGGUAAGAAGAAAUUCCAUGCUUUGAAGCUAAUACUGUUCGCUAGUUUGUAGUAGCAAAACAAGCGACUACUAAAGGGAAUAGUUCGGUGUCCUACAGGGAAGAGUGCGGUCGGUGCCCUAUAAAUAGAACAGGAAAAGAGUUUCCUCAGUAACAAUUCCAUUCCAUUUAUUCUUAAGAGAGUUUAUUCAGCGCCAAUUCUAUUCUUUCUUGGAUGCGAGGUUCCCUAAAACAUACUUUUUGCCCAAUGAUUCAUUUAGAAAGAUUCUCUUACGUAGCUCCGGAACUAAUUCUGCAUCUAGAUCCAGGCCACGGCAACUGAGCUAGGGGUGGGUAUCGUGCAACAACAAGAAGGGUGCGCAGGGGAACUAAUUCAGAAAAGUCACAUAGAUAGCUCACAUUAUUUAGUUUAAGUAAAAGCAUUCAGUCUUCGAUAGCAUCGCACAGUCUAUGAACUACUAUGAACUCAGUCAUCGUACAUCCUUAGCUUCGGGGGACAGUAAAGGGUGGACAGAAAACUCAUUCUUUGUAUAUGGUAGGGUAACUCCGUCUUUGAAAUAAGUCUUUGAAACCAAAAAGCAAAGCACGGUAGGGUGGCUAAAGCACGGUAGCAUUAAUUCUUCAAGUGAUCCCCAGCUCAUUAUCUUUUCUAUUCAAUAAGUAACACAGCUCAUUAUCUUUUCGAUUCUAUAAGUAACACAGCUCAUUCUAUUUUAUUGACACAUCAGAUUGACUAUCCAACCAAGUCUUCCCUGUGGCUCGUUCAGCUCACCCACGACCCUAUGUUGAUUAAUCUCUUUAAGCCAAGCCCCUUUUCCAAAUAAAACCAUCUUCACAAUCAUCGAUUGCUCCCUCAUCCAUGGUAACUGCUAGCACCUCUAACCAAGACCACUAUUUCCUACUACUCUAACCAAGACCACUAUUUCCUACUAUAAUAAACCUCACGGAUCCCACUCAAUCUUUUACACCGAUGUUUCGUACUCUCUGGACCAGGUCAUCAUAAGAGGAGAAUACUGCGAAAUCUUUCCUAAGUAAGUAAAGUAAGUAAGUAAGAGAAGGAGGGAAGGCGCACGCUACAACAAACAGCCUGCUGAAAAAAGACAAGAAAAAAGCAACGAAACGAAUAAUAAUAGCUUUGUUAGGAGUGAAACGCGUUAGCACUUACUCUCCCCCGCUUGCUGCUUUCUUUUCUUAUCGCUGUGUUUCAAAAAUGAGAUGACAGGUAACCUUAGGCAAGAGUCGUGACCAUGCUGGUUUUGUUAGGCUUGUUGUACAUUGUCAGAAAAGAGAGUUGGUUUAGGUACAUCGUUGAUUAGUAAACCUUAGGUGCUCUGGUAAGGUCUGGACCGUGGUCGUGCGUCUCAGGUUUGCCGGCCGAUAAGAUCACUUCAAUUGACCAGCCAGCUGUGUUGGUUUGGCUAUUACUUGCUAUUUCAAAGUAGUCAGCUGUCUGCGCGAGUCACCUUCCUUCUUCUAGGCUCCGAGUCACCUUCUUCUAAGCUCCGCUGGACGACACGGCAUUCUCGUUCUAUAGGCCGGCCGUACUUGUGAUGGUUCCCCAGGAUCCAAUAAACUUAGGUCUACGUUGCCACGAUAUUGUUCUAUGGAAGCGGGCGGGCAGCUCUUUGGAUAAGUUCGGCCCGGUAUUGCAUUCUUGAUUAAUAACAUGGGCAUUGAUCUUUCUCACGCAUAUUCUGUCGUACCGGCAUGGCCCCAAGGAUUUGUUUUCGAUCGGAGCAUCAAGCAGCGCAACCCGGUUCUACUUGACUAAGCCCAGUGCUCUUCCAAGGAGGGAGUUUGCUUGACCCAACUCCCCAAUUUGGAACAAGGCAUAAACCUCUUACCCUAAAUUCAUGAGUUUAGAAUGAAGAGUUCCCCCAUUCUUUUGGAAUCCCGAAAUCUGGGAUUUGGAAGUUGGUAAAGACCCACCCCUUGUUGAAGUCAGAAUGAGUCCCCUGGACAUUGGCUUCCACCAACAGUGAACUACUAAGGAUCGCAUCCCGCGCAUAUUCUACAUUAUAGCCUGCAACUGAUUCAGCUUCCGCUUCUGGGAGAUCAAACGGAGCUCGAUUCGUUUCUGCUAGACGAGGAAUAAGGAACAUAACCAAUACGGGGAACAAGGGAAUACCAGACCAUAUCUGCUUUUGCGCCAUGACAAUCUCACUCGAAUUACAGGGACCUACACAUAUUAGUACAGUAUACCGGGGUCCCCGGCCAGAACCACACGUGCAAGUUUCCCUGCAUGUGGCUCGUUCGUUCUUUUUUAUCCGAAGCAAAGCCUGUUACUCUGCAUGGGAGAAGAGUGCGGAACUGCUUUCGUGUUCAAGAGCAUGGAAUUGUCUUAGUUAGUAGAUAGAUUAGAACUCCAUAAUAUGCGCACCGAGAACGAGAAUAGAUAGAGAUGUUAGCUAGCAGGGGCCUUUGGUAGUCCCGGUCUCUGGCCGGCCUCUGACAGUCCAUCCCGUCUAAUCAUUCUUUGGCUAUAUUAGUUGCAAGUAAUGUUAGCUCUACAUUAAACUAUUUGUCGAUUGUUGACUAAACCGGAACUCAUCAGUAACCCCCGAUUUCCUAUUCUGCUUUGCUUGACGCCUACAUUAAGAGAAUAGGUCCCUAGGCCUUCCUUUAAUCAUCUAUACUAGACUCUCCCAAUAGGAACGAACUAUUUAUGCGCCCUAAGAAGCGGAACGCGCCAUCACCUACUGCCCUUUCCUCUGCCGGGGACUUCUAGAAAAGAAAACGGGCGGCAUGGUCGUAUGUUCGACAUGAGUUGCCCUGGUGUAUAUCCCGGAGUACUCCUAUGGCCGAUCUGUCACCCAGCAAACUACAGCAUCUUGGAAAAACGUCUUUCUUAGCCGAAUAGUUUAGGUAAUGAAAUACUAAGCAUCAAAGAAAUACAGCAAGGCGAAACGAAACUACUGCAUCAAAGAAGAACAUAAGCUAUGAAAAGCCCCCCUAUAUACCUAGAAUUGUUAAGAUGCUUGGCCCCGUCCCGUGUGGCUCCUUACGGCACGUUAGUGAUUAUCGCUUAGUGGCGUUGACAUAAUGAGAAAGCCGCGACUUAUCGCAUGGUUCUUGCCUCCCUCCUUGGAGCUCGUCUAUUCCUUGCUUGGGUGAUCCCUUGCUCUCACGUUCGAGUGUUUGCUCAUCGUUUAGGCCGGUUAGUUCCAUUUCUGCUCAUUGCAGUUGCCUCCGGGGUUCUUCGCACCUGGGUAGUACCAGGACCCUUGUGCCCCAGCUAACUUAUCCAAAGAGCUGCCUAUGUAUGACCCAAAACGAAAAGAAGCCUUGCGACGAGACGCGGACAUUCCUCAUGCUGCGGUUCCCUCCGGUCCGUUCCCGGGUUGGGUUAGGGGAAGAUCCGAGCGCUUCGCGGAUCCAAACGUGCUCACAAGGCGCAUAAUAAGAAUCAGACCAAUAGAGACUUCAUAAGGGACCAUUUGAGCUGCAGAUCGUAAUGCUCCUAGAAAGGCAUAUUUCGAAUAUAGAGGAAGUUCCCAACAAUGCCACAAAGAAAAGAGAAUGAGAAAACUAUGAACCGUACGAGCACGUCCUCUCUCACCCCACCGCGCUUACGGCUCUAUACCCCAACUAGCUCUGGCCCCGGGUCCUCCCGCAUCUCUUCCUAGGUAAGUAGACCGUGGAAGCUGGGGUGUAUCCGCUUGCGACAGAUAGAAAGCUGCAAGCAUAUCCAUGGUUGAUACCUAAAGCCUAUAUAAAAGAAGCUCUGCCUAACAAAUAAGUUGAUACCUAAAGCCUAUAUAAAAGAAGCUCUGCCUAACAAAUCCAAAUAGUGGACGCGUCAGAGACAUCUUUAUCAGAAGAGGAGGCUUCGUCCUCCGGCUACUCAUAAAUGAUUAUAGGAUCGGCCGGCUCAUCCUCGGAAUCCAACAAAGAUGGAAGAGAAAGAGAAAUAACAUAUUAGGUGAAAUUACAUAGCGAAUCAGACAGAAUAGGAUGUAGAAGAAAGAAGAAUCAAGAGAAAGAAGGUAAUGGAAUGGGCUAGGAAGAGAAAGAAGGUAUUGGAAUGGGCUAGGAAGCUACCGUUUAACGAAAAGCAAUGCUACAAGCAAGGUAGCGACUCUCUGUCUAGCGUGUGGGGGGGGCAUUGGAAAGACUAGACCAUACUCAUUAGUACAAUAGGCAUUCGGGAAGCGCCUAGUCGUUUAUUUCUGACGAAGCUUAACGAAGGCCGACUACUUACUACAUAGAGACAACUACCAGUCAUGAGCGAUAGUGAAGCCUAGAGAGUAGGAAACAGUCGCUUGACGGACGCGAUAGGCGGGCGAAGUGAGCGAUACCAAGCCGAGCCACUAGUUUAUUGGGUGCCUACAUUACAUAUAUGGAAGAAGUCAUAGGUUAAACACAUCGAACGAAACAAAACGGAAAGUGAACUAUUGAACAGUGUGAUUGAUAAGAACAGUACUAGCUCAUCACUCGCCUAGCAACUGUAGUAGUAGCUUGGCCGGGGAUCUUCUUUCAUUGAAUAAUUCGCUUGCGAGAAGUCCUAGCAUUAGUAUGAGUUCGUUGACCGCGUAAGGGCGAUCCAUCUUGAUGACGAAUUCCACGAUAACGAGAAAUAGAAAUUAAUCGUUUGAUGUCUGCUCGUUCUCCCCUCUUCAAUUCCCAAUUCACAACAUGAUCUUGACUUAUCAUUUGUUCCAUUUGGUCGAUCUGAUACUUAGUUAACUCCUGAAUCUUGAUGUUCCCACUGAUACCUAAUCGAUAACGAAACUUCAUGGCUUUUUGAGGUCCAAUUCCAUCCAUUUUGGUUGAGGCUAUUCUGACUUGUUCAUCGGGAACUGAUAUAGCUCCAUUAUUAUCUGACAUUAUUAAUCCUUAUACCUUUUCCUGGUCUUCUCGGCUGGAAUCUACAAGGGGUCUCCAUCCCUCCACUCACGAACAAAGCUAGCCAUUUCUCUUGACUAGAGAAAGAUCAUAGCAGAGAUUACCCAUACCCGAAAGAGCAUAGCAGAGAUUACCCAUACAUACCCUAUAAGUAAGAGACUAUAUUAUUACCCAUACAUACCCUAUAAGUAAGAGACUAUAUGCGCUUUCAAGUACUCCAACAUAGAGAGAGCUAUUUCUUUGAUUCUUCUAUUGAUCUCAGAAAAGAUUGGAAAGUGUCCCUAUACUUAUGUAUAGGCGAGAAGGAGCCCAGCCCGCCUUUCUCUUACUAUAUCUGUGAAAAGAGAAUAGGUAGUUUCAGAAAGAAUCAUUUCAAUCAAAUUGAUAGUCAGAGGAAUAUUCGAAAAUCCUGAGGGGAAGAACGUAGAUUCAUUCCAUUCUCUCACACACUAUCGCUAUUCUCCUCUCCAUUCUCUCACUCACUAUCGCUAUUCUCCUAUAAGAAAGACACUGUUGCAGCAAUCGGUUGAAGCAUUAGUUCCCGGUUAGUGGGUGCUGGGGACAGACUUGACGUAACAACUCCAUGGGGGCCGCCAUGCCUUUAGAUCGAUACACUGUUUAGGAGGCCAGGCCGAUCACGAACGCUACUGGUGUGGGCUGCUAUCAGAGAUGAUUCAAGAAAGCCAACAAGAAUAGGGCCAAGCUAACCUUAGCAACUACUACCCCGCCUAGCCUAGGUAAGAUGCGGCAAGGUAACACUUCCCGGUGCUCUUUCCUCUUUAUUACUUCCUAUACACUAGGGUAGGGGAGAAGCGUGUUUUAAACAGCUAUUGGCCAAGCGACUACUAACGUUGAGAUAAAGAUAAGAAGCGGGGGGUUAAGGUGAAAUAAGCUAUAGAAGGAAAGCACUGACUUGACUCGGCAUAAGAAAGAUUAUGUGGCGCCAGGAAAAGUUGUGGAAUUCUUUGUCCAGUGUACUAGAGUUAUUACUGAGUCCUGUGAAUAGGCUUUGAUGCGCUAAGACUAAGGCUUACUCUUGUUGUUGCAAGUGGGAAAGUCAAAGAAGUACGGGCAUAAAUCGAAUCAGAGGCUUGAGCUAGCCUAAUAUGAGAAUGGAAAGUGGAUCUAUUGCAGAAGAAUCAUUCUUGUUACCCGCAUAGGAAAGUACUCAACUAGAUUCUUGUACCCCGCCUAGGUAUUAUAGAAAGAAAUAACCAAGGAAAAGAGGUAGGUUAGGAGUUUCGCCCAAGGUUGUCUUAGAGAAUCUCAAAGAGUGCGUGCGAGUGUAGUUCCGGCGGAGUAAUACGCUCGAACACAAGACAUAGGCUUUCUCUUUAUAUAGGAUGAGAGUACUUCACUACGGAUGGAAGGAACCUAUUUUGACCUGAUCCAUCCUCGGCUUAACCCUAUUAUUUCUCUAUUGGGGCACUAAGGAACAAAGAAAGUCGUUUGACUCAUUAUGUUAGGUAGUACCCUUCACUUCACUGCCUAUUCCUAACCUGGCCAGCUCGCUCACUAACGCAGUAAACAGGACUUUCACUUGUGCCAAGUUAACCAUGAAAUUCAUCUAUCGAGCGGUCAACUCUACCACUUAUUGCUCGAACUGCGGAUUCCGUCUAAUAACUCAUAGGCGCAUCCCUCACUCCACUACUUUGAGCUACAGCGGGACUAGACACACUAUAAACUAGGUGGGCGAAAGGGGAGCGAAAUUCUUCUUUCUAUGCGCUCUAUUCCGUCGCUUUUGAUUCCUUCUCCUUCUCUGUUUUUAGUUGCACUAGGGUUGGAUACCAAUAUCUAUCAGUUGGUUACCCAUAUAUAUCUAUGAGACCCCUCCCCUCUCUCUCUUGCUCUAGUUUUGUGUUCUACUAGAUGCGCUAGCAAGUUCUGUAUUCUGGCCCUAUUCUAAUACCCUAUUUCUUGUCUUAUACUUAUACUUACUAUUCUAUUACUUACUAUUACUAUUCUUAUUCUUAUACUAUCUUGUCUUAUUCUUAUUCUUAUACUAUCUUGUCUUAUGGCUCCUCAAUACUCCAUCGAAUAAACUUCCAGUUAUCCUCUUUCUUGCUCCGAUUACCUAUAAGAAUUCUAUAUCUAAUAUUCAACGAGAUCCAUUUCUCUUUCUGGGGCUUCUGAUCGAACUGUGGAACUGGCAAUUCUCCAAGUGACAAUAGGGGUGGAAGGAUUACUCGACGUGUUACCGACCCCGAACAAGACUUAGAGCGUAAGCACCAACACUCCCCACUUAUUGUUAUUGUCCCGCCUUCUAAUGACCAUAAUAGCCUAAUUGAUCUUUCUGUUCGAGUGUUAUCGAGUGAGCAGACUCCUAAAGAAGGAAGAGAGUUGAGUGCAAAAGAAGAGAGCCGAAUUGCUUUCAGAAUUGAGGAAGCAAAGAAAUUGGAAUUCCACGUACAAAAGCAUAGAGUUUGACAAUGAUAUGAGUUUGUUUUAAAGGACAGUUACCAAGUAGAGUAUCAAUUCUAUUACAUUAGCAAUUAGCAUAGUUAUAGGUCUUUAGACGCAAGACAGUUACAAAGUAUCAAUUAAGUGACAUUAGCUACGUUGAACAGAGACAUAUAGCUUAAUAGAAAUCGGAGUUAGCGAGUGAUAGUAUAGAAACGAAUAAAGAUGGUUAUGAUUCUGUUGUUUCUUAUAAUAAACAGUAGAACAAGCAGGGCGAGGAAGCAAUAAGUAAAGAAGUAAAGGAUCGGAUCGGGAGUUGGCGCUGAGAGAUGAGGUCUUGCAGUUCUAUUCCAUCAUAAGAGUCAGAGGUUUUAUACAAGAAACCAUUCUGUAUCUGUUCGAAAGGAAAGGUUCGAGUGCUGGUGUCAGUGGCGUAGGAGAGUGGCUUAGGACAGUAAUAAGCAGUUCCUGGUUUCGGUAGUGAUUGUGUCGUAGGUGCUAUAGCUCCGAGUUCUACUUGUUUGCGCUAACGGAAAGGGAGGGUAAAGGAGUUGUUGACAGUACGGUGUCAGUUCCAUUUCUUUAUGCUUGCUUCUGCGAGAGAUAAUAGUCAAAUUCCAAUUCUCAUCUUUUUCUACUCUCCUUGUUAUCUGAGAUCCAAUCUUAUAUGCCUCGCAAUAGAGUCAAAUUAUGAAGUGGAAAGUCAAGCUAUUAAAGAAAAGGUGGAAGUAACAAGUGAGUAAGCUGCUAUGUAUGAAAGUAGAGGUCGAGGAAGAAUAAUAAAGGGAUAUGGAAGCUAUGUAUUUAUAGAAUUCUAUACAACCACAACCCAACCACCUUGGGAAUCUGAAUCUUAUCUUUAUCACGGUCAUCUUGCCCCUAGAAAGGCUGUUCCUGUUCCACGGUAGCCUGCCUAUGAACAUUGACCCGUUACUAAUACAAAUAUAGCAGAAGAAUCCGCGGAAGUAGAUGAAAAGUCUUGAUCCGUUUUCAAGAGAAAACCAGUUAUAGUUCCAGGAUCAUCAGCUAUGGGCUAACGGGAAGAAGGAUCUGCAGUUGGGGAGAAGAAGAAAGAGAAUCUUCAACUGAAUAAAGAUCAUUGGUGAAACAAAAGUAAGGGUAUCAAGUAAGGGUAUCUCGGAACAGGCGCAAGAGAGAGAAAUGAUUGUUUUCCUUAAGACUCCACUUUUACUGAAGAUCACAACAGUUUUGACCUUAUUGACCUUGAUUGUAGUGCUCUUGGCUAGGCUCCUUAUUGUUUCGGGAGUUAUGCAACGGCGCGCCUGUAUAAAGUCUUCUGCUACUUAAACGUGUUGUUACU